UUUUUGUUGUUGGUUUAGAGUCUGAAAAACUCAAAUAGUGUUGUGUUGUCAUCAGCUUCUUCUCUUGCAUUUUUAACGAGAUUGGAGUUAAAUAACAGCACUAAAUUU
This 108-nucleotide small nucleolar RNA is filed under the name Theobroma cacao (cacao). RNAcentral's name for it is "Small nucleolar RNA snoR97". It matches the Rfam family "Small nucleolar RNA snoR97". Lineage: Eukaryota; Viridiplantae; Streptophyta; Magnoliopsida; Malvales; Malvaceae. The record is from Rfam by way of RNAcentral.